Molecule: ribosomal RNA, 500 nt
Filed under: uncultured bacterium
Lineage: Bacteria
Description: partial 16S ribosomal RNA
Rfam family: Bacterial small subunit ribosomal RNA
Source: RNAcentral
AUUGAACGCUGGCGGCAUGCCUUACACAUGCAAGUCGAACGGCAGCACGGGAGCAAUCCUGGUGGCGAGUGGCGAACGGGUGAGUAAUAUAUCGGAACGUGCCCAGUCGUGGGGGAUAACGUAGCGAAAGCUACGCUAAUACCGCAUACGAUCUAUGGAUGAAAGCGGGGGAUCGCAAGACCUCGCGCGAUUUGAGCGGCCGAUAUCAGAUUAGGUAGGUGGUGAGGUAAAGGCUCACCAAGCCGACGAUCUGUAGCUGGUCUGAGAGGACGACCAGCCACACUGGGACUGAGACACGGCCCAGACUCCUACGGGAGGCAGCAGUGGGGAAUUUUGGACAAUGGGCGCAAGCCUGAUCCAGCAAUGCCGCGUGCAGGAUGAAGGCCUUCGGGUCGUAAACUGCUUUUGUACGGAACGAAACGGCGAGCUCUAAUACAGCUUGCUAAUGACGGUGCCGUAAGAAUAAGCACCGGCUAACUACGUGCCAGCAGCCGCGGUAA